GGGGAACGACCAGAGCAGGAAGAAAAAGGGUAAAACCCUAAACUCCACAAAAUCUUCUAAUUGAAGGUGCAAUUGAAGACCAAACUCGGAUUUGAAUACAUAUAAACGAUCACCGAGCUAAGGGGAUCGUAAGGUAUGUCGAAAUUUAUAUUGACUCUAAACAAGCUAGGUGGGAGCUUGGAAAGGAACGGGUCAAACGGAUCAUGGAUGCGAAGAAUGUUUGCGCGAACGCGAGGUAAGUAAAGCUUACACCCAUUUGUAGUAAACGUAUGUAUUUUAUAGAUGAUAAAUGUGACAACCGAUUACAUUCGAAAUUGAAGUUCCGACACUAAGCAAUAUGAGUCGGAACGAAUAAAAAUGAUCAAAACCAUGGUUAAUGGUAAAAUGGACAAAAGGGUAAUUUAGUCGUGAAUCGACUAAGAAUUUAUAAGAUUUCUUUAAGGUUACCUUAUAGCGAAACUAGUAAUGGGAAAA
RNAcentral lists this long non-coding RNA (474 nucleotides) under Helianthus annuus (common sunflower). Lineage: Eukaryota; Viridiplantae; Streptophyta; Magnoliopsida; Asterales; Asteraceae. The record is from RNAcentral.